CAAUUUCAAACUGAUUGAUCUAUCCAGUAUAAAUAAUAGUGUAGCUUUUAGCUUACUGUCAUAGACAAGCAUUCCGACUGAUGUUAUAUAUGUUGUUUUUUGUAGAAUCAUAUAAGUCCAGUUAUACUUAAAAACAGGCCAAGGUAAGCCAUGUCAGUUCAUUUAACGAAUGCAUGUGCAGGAACUGCGGAACUAGGGGCGGGGGUGGGGCUUGGGGACCAUACCCCCACUCCCACCACCAUAUGGUGUGGCCUUACCCCCUCCCCCCCUCCUCCACCACUUCCAAUCAUAGGAUUGAUUCGUAAUAUUUGUUCUUUAUCACUAAUACUGUUCAAAUUUUGCAGCACAAGGACGCAGUCCCAAGUGGAAUUUUUUGCCAUGUUAGAUUCAAAAAUCGAAGCGGUAAGUUUAUAAUUUUGUGUUUGGAUGCCCCAUCUGCAUUUCAGCACCCCAUUGAAACACUGUGACAGAUAUUGUUGGUGGGUUGCCCAGAACUACAAGUAAUUAUUUUGCUUGGAAGGACUUGUAAACUGUCCGGCCAUUAGACAAAAUAUGGGCGGACGUCAUUUAUCAGCUUUUCUGAUCGGACAAUGGCCAAAGUGAAAUGUUUCAUAUCCUUCUGAGAACGAUGUAUUUCGGCUAGUCAUGUUAGUCCACAUUACAAUCAUGGAUGUACAACCGAGUAUAAUAUCUACCAGUCCUAAUGCAUCUGUAAAUUAUGGUUCAGAUUAUCCUUCCAUCAUGAUAUAGCCUACGAAGGCAAUUUAGAUUCAUAUUGCUGUUGGUAAUUAAAUCUUACUGUAGCAAAAGAUGAUCAGGGAAAGUGUUGCUUAUUAAUCUUUGAUUUCGUCAACAAAAAUGUGUAAAAAACAAAAUUAUAUUGGACAUUAAACCAGCCUAAUUUAAAUCGGUCGGUCAAAUGUCCGGUCAUAAAAAGCUUUGAUCAGACAAAAGGUAAAAUCUGGUCGGACAAUGACCGAUAACCAGCACUAAUUUGCAUGCCAUGUUGCUCCUUACUAAUGAUUUAAGCCUGCUAAUUUGUUAAGUAUUUUAAUAAAUGUUCAAUGUUCAAAAGUAGCAGUAGUUGUAGCUGAUUACAUAUUUUUGAAGUAACUGUAGUUAUAGCGAACUACAAACCCACCCUUGACUAGACCCCCUAGAGAAGUCCAGCACCACCCUAAAAAACUGCUUGACCAUACAUUUUCUGCUUUUCGAAUAGCGAUUAAUUAGCGGAACUACUGUGUCGAUUUCUAGCUAUACUCUACUGAAACGAUUUAAUUGAUCUGUGAGCUCACGAGAAAAUAGUCAGAAUGCUUUAGUUAAAUAUCUUGGUCAGUUAAAUCUGUAAACAUGUCGAGGUUUGUGAUGUUACUCUGAGUGUGCAUCCACACCGGGCAAGCUGAACAGUUUGCUUGGCCACGGUGGGAAUCGACAUGCAGAUUCAGCCAUCUCAAAUAAUGGAAAUGUUGGGAUAGUAGCGUUGCAGACUGCAGAGGAGAGUGGGCAGCAAGGCUCCCUCAUGUACCACCCCAUUUAAAACCUGCACCCCUCUUUGCAGAUGAGGCUAGAUCCUCCCCUGUUGCUGAUAUAGCUACUGUUUAAUUAGAGAGAAAUAAACUAAAAAUGCUUUCUUUUUCUUGAACAGGGAGCUGAUCUAAAUUAGAGCUGAUAUUCGAUGUAAGCUUGGGGAGAAAUAUUGUUCUCGUCGAAAUGUAGAAUAUAUAGUCUUGCAGGACAAUAAACGGCCUUGGAUUUGUGAGGCCAAAUCUCUGUUGUUCCCAACAACAACAAUUGCCUGAAAGAAGUUUUCUCUCAAAGAAAAUAGAGCAGAGAGAAUAUGCUCGUAGGAGAAGCUGAUUAAGACUAGUAAAGUCAAGAAAUCCUGACUGGAGAAAUUAUCCUUUUCAGAAUAAACUUAACUAUACCAAGGAGAAUAAAGUAUUUUUCUAAGAAAGCUUUCACGGUAAAGCAAUUAAUAUAAAUAUAUAUAUAUAGACUACUUUUAGAAAGUUUAAAUAAGUAAGGACCAUUAAAUCAGUGGUAAGGACAGGUUAUUGUACAUAUGCAUUCACAAUAAUUGCUUUCGCUAAUGAAAUUUGUUGCGGCAUCCCAGCAAGAAGCCUCAACAUAUACUAACAGUAAAUUUAUACAGUAAAUGAAGCAUUCCUGUAUUACGUAUUUUUUACGUUACAUGAGGUCCAAAUACAUGAGGCCCGAAACGUAUACAUGAAAUAUAUACUGAUUGAUGAUUCUUUACUGAUGAAACAGUCUGUUGCGGAAUUUUGAGGUAAGCGAAAUUCUACAUUUGCUCUAUCUUUAUGAUAUUGAGCACUCUUUGCGUUUCGUAUACACAAACC
Molecule: long non-coding RNA, 2357 nt
Filed under: Paramuricea clavata
Lineage: Eukaryota; Metazoa; Cnidaria; Anthozoa; Malacalcyonacea; Plexauridae
Source: RNAcentral